RNAcentral lists this ribosomal RNA (150 nucleotides) under uncultured Paraglomus. RNAcentral describes it as "5.8S ribosomal RNA". It matches the Rfam family "5.8S ribosomal RNA". Rfam says of the family: 5.8S ribosomal RNA (5.8S rRNA) is a component of the large subunit of the eukaryotic ribosome. It is transcribed by RNA polymerase I as part of the 45S precursor that also contains 18S and 28S rRNA. The record is from RNAcentral. Lineage: Eukaryota; Fungi; Glomeromycota; Glomeromycetes; Paraglomerales; Paraglomeraceae.
AAACUUUCAACAACGGAUCUCUUGGCUCUCGCAUCGAUGAAGAACGCAGCGAAAUGCGAUAAGUAGUGUGAAUUGCAGAACUUUGUGAACCAUCGAAUCUUUGAACGCAAAUUGCGCCUUCCUUCGGAAGGCAUGUCUGUUUGAGGGCAC